This is a long non-coding RNA of Athene cunicularia (burrowing owl), 1899 nucleotides long. RefSeq lists it as uncharacterized. The record is from RefSeq and is a predicted model, not a curated record. The transcript has 6 exons. Lineage: Eukaryota; Metazoa; Chordata; Aves; Strigiformes; Strigidae.
ACCAAGGCAGGGACCAUCUACUGUCCUGAAAUAGUCCAGGCUGUAUGGUUGUGCCUGUUCCCCAGCGUGGUUUUGGCCAUUCCCUCCAACAAUUUCCAGGGAGGGCAGAGCCCUUGGGUCACUCUCAGCUGUCAGCGUGGUUGAGGCCGCUGUGUUUUGUUGUGCUUGGAGGUGGAGAGGAGACUUUCUCUACUGGAUGUGACCAGUCAAAAGGAGAGGAGGAGGAAUGACAGUGAGGAGACCAAGGUAUUCGACAGAGCACCUAUGAGCUGAAAUGUUGCAAAUGAUUUAAAAAAUCUUCACAACCGAAAAAUCACUACCAAAGUUGAAAGGAAUAAACCCGGAGUAAGGACUACAGGAUUUGACGAAAAUAAGCCAGUGUUUCACUGCAGCUGCCAAAACUGAAUAGUGGCUGGUUUGUGUCCAGUGAAGAACAGACUUGGACUAAAUGGAACAGCUGCACAAAGAUGUUCAACAUAAUAGCUCACCACUCCGUGUUCCCAUUCAUUCCUGACCAAACCGAGAAGCUUUCAACACCAAAUGACACCUUCCCAAUUUCACUGUGUUCCCACGACAGUUCAGGGCAGUAUCCAAGUGCAAGGAAAUUCCAAGGAUGCUCAGAGGCAUAUCUCAGGGGAGGAGCCUGGAAGAAAAUAUCAGAGAGUUCAUGUUUUAACAGGCUACCCUCAAGAUAAUGGGGACCUCCUGAGCUGAAUAUGAACCCUUGAUCCUCACUCAUGGGAUAAGGUUGGACCUCGCUUGGCCAGUGUUCACUGAUGAGACUGUGGCACCGUUGAUCUUGCAAGCAAAUGGAACUGACUACAUCCGUACUAAUAACCAGCACGGGUCUCAGCUGGCCAUACAGCUAAAUUUUAUGCAUGAUCCCCGGAACAGUUUUGGCCGGUCCCAACCAGUCCUGCAGUCCACAGGGCAGAUAGCUUUGCUGGUGAUGAGGAUGGAUGUGACCAGCCUGUUCUGGGAAGCCACAGAGAUUAAUGAUAAAGGUACAGACCUUUCCAUCUCAUCUGGCCAUCAGGCCAGGGAACGGGCCUUGGCAAUGCUCAUUCUGCUGGCAUAAAGAGAACAGAGAUACUUAAGUGUCUGCUCUAGAAAUUGUUCUGGUAAGAUGGGCUGCACAGGUCACAGUGUUUCAGCUUUUUAUGGGUUUGUUCAGUUCUGUCCCUUCCUGUAUAUGAAGUGCAUUUGGGAACUUAAUUCUAAAGCUGGCAGGGGAAGGGAUGGGGAGGGAGCAGAACGGGUUUUUAUUGGAUCACUUUUCCUUGGGGCUCACGUCUCCAGCUUUCCAAGGACACCUUGCAUCUCACUGCUUUGCUUGAAGCGUGAAGUCAAGGAGUUUGGCAGCAGUUGAGCAAUCAGUCACUCCUCUCUGCUUUAAAACCUUCCCGAAUUCUUUGUUCCAGUAAGAACCACCGUAUUCAAAGUGGGAGAUCACAUCCAGGGUGGAUGCUGAAGGCGGAGUCGCAGACAAGAUUCUGAGUAAAGUUUACAGCUUUUCAAAUGGCUUGAAAUCAGUUCCCUUGACUGAUUCCACCCGUUUCCUCAACUCAUCCCUCCUUUGCCUUUUCAACUGUUUGUACAGAGGGACAGCUACACCUAUACUUUGUAAGUAUUGUGUCCUGGUUCUGUAUCAUAUUUUGGGUCGAACCAGAGGUGAGAUUUCCAAACUGCAGGUAACCCACAUUUUUCAGUAAAUAGCUCUGCUAUUAAGAGCUUCUUACCUGGUGAUUCCUGGGACAGCAUUUCCAAACAAAGCAGGUAAAACCCCUUUCCCUAAGCUGAAUACUCUUGCUGUAAGAUCAGUCUUCACCCCCAAGCAGCUGUAACACCACAUCAGAGCCCAGCUUUCAGCUCCCACCAAACAGCAGUGCUCACUGAAAG